This 460-nucleotide ribosomal RNA is filed under the name uncultured bacterium. RNAcentral describes it as "partial 16S ribosomal RNA". It matches the Rfam family "Bacterial small subunit ribosomal RNA", at positions 338 to 795 of the family's 1533-position model. The record is from RNAcentral.
CCUACGGGAGGCAGCAGUGAGGAAUAUUGGUCAAUGGGCGUAAGCCUGAACCAGCCAAGUCGCGUGAGGGAUGAAGGUUCUAUGGAUCGUAAACCUCUUUUAUAAGGGAAUAUAGUGUGGGACGUGUCCUAUUUUGUAUGUCCCUUAUGAAUAAGGAUCGGCUAACUCCGUCCCAGCAGCCGCGGUAAUACGGAGGAUCCGAGCGUUAUCCGGAUUUAUUGGGUUUAAAGGGUGCGUAGGCGGCCUGUUAGGUCAGCGGUGAAAGUCUGUGGCUCAAGCAGAGAAUUGCCGUUGAAACUGGGGGGCUGGAGUACGUAUGAGGCAGGAGGAAUGCGUGGUGUAGCGGUGAAAUGCUUAGAUAUCACGCAGAACCCCGAUUGCGAAGGCAGCCUGCGAAGCCACGACUGACGCUGAUGCACGAAAGCGUGGGGAUCAAACAGGAUUAGAUACCCGAGUAGUC